Molecule: ribosomal RNA, 661 nt
Filed under: uncultured euryarchaeote
Lineage: Archaea; Methanobacteriati; Methanobacteriota
Description: bacterial SSU rRNA
Rfam family: Archaeal small subunit ribosomal RNA
Source: RNAcentral
CUUUGGCUAAACUGGAUAGUGAAGAGAUUCUGGAAUGAACUCUUUGUCAAACGUAAGGUCUUAGGAUGAGUCGGCGACGGAUUAGGCAGUGGCGGUGUAACGGACCACCAAACCUAAGAUCCGUAGGGGCCCUGAGAGGGGUAGCCCCGAGAGGGACACUGAAAUACUGGUCCCAGCUCCACGGAGUGCAGCAGGCGCGUAACCUCCACAAUGCGCGAAAGCGUGAUGGGGGGAUCCCGAGUGCUUACAUUAUAUGUAAGCUUUUGCCAAGGGUAAACACCUUGGAGAAUAAGUGGUGGGUAAGACCGGUGCCAGCAGCCGCGGUAACCCCGGCGCCACGAGUGGCAUUCUUGUAUUUGGCCUAAAGCAUUCGUAGCCGGUUUGAAAAAUCCUUUGUGAAAUUGUUGAACUCAACACAACAGCAUGCAGGGGACACUUUCAAGCUAGAGACUGGGAGGAGUUAGGGGUAUUCCUAGGGGAGCGGUUAAAUGUGAUAAUCCUAGGAGGACCACCUGUGGCGAAGGCGCCUAACUAGAACAGUUCUGACGGUGAGGGAUGAAAGCUAGGGGAGCGAUCCGGAUUAGAUACCCGAGUAGUCCUAGCUGUAAACUCUGCGAGCUAGGUGUUGCAUAUUCUACGCGAAUAUGCAGUGUCGAAACGA